This 747-nucleotide ribosomal RNA is filed under the name Micromonospora sp. RNAcentral describes it as "bacterial SSU rRNA". It matches the Rfam family "Bacterial small subunit ribosomal RNA", at positions 81 to 841 of the family's 1533-position model. The record is from RNAcentral. Lineage: Bacteria; Bacillati; Actinomycetota; Actinomycetes; Micromonosporales; Micromonosporaceae.
UUCGGGGUACUCGAGCGGCGAACGGGUGAGUAACACGUGAGCAACCUGCCCCAAGCUUUGGGAUAACCCUCGGAAACGGGGGCUAAUACCGAAUAUUACUUCUGGCCGCAUGGCUGGUGGUGGAAAGUUUUUCGGCUUGGGAUGGGCUCGCGGCCUAUCAGCUUGUUGGUGGGGUGAUGGCCUACCAAGGCGACGACGGGUAGCCGGCCUGAGAGGGCGACCGGCCACACUGGGACUGAGACACGGCCCAGACUCCUACGGGAGGCAGCAGUGGGGAAUAUUGCACAAUGGGCGGAAGCCUGAUGCAGCGACGCCGCGUGAGGGAUGACGGCCUUCGGGUUGUAAACCUCUUUCAGCAGGGACGAAGCGAGAGUGACGGUACCUGCAGAAGAAGCACCGGCCAACUACGUGCCAGCAGCCGCGGUAAGACGUAGGGUGCGAGCGUUGUCCGGAUUUAUUGGGCGUAAAGAGCUCGUAGGCGGCUUGUCGCGUCGACCGUGAAAACUUGGGGCUCAACCCCAAGCCUGCGGUCGAUACGGGCAGGCUAGAGUUCGGUAGGGGAGACUGGAAUUCCUGGUGUAGCGGUGAAAUGCGCAGAUAUCAGGAGGAACACCGGUGGCGAAGGCGGGUCUCUGGGCCGAUACUGACGCUGAGGAGCGAAAGCGUGGGGAGCGAACAGGAUUAGAUACCCUGGUAGUCCACGCUGUAAACGUUGGGCGCUAGGUGUGGGGGGCCUCUCCGGUUCCC